RNAcentral lists this ribosomal RNA (520 nucleotides) under uncultured Glomus. Its description in RNAcentral is "SSU rRNA". It matches the Rfam family "Eukaryotic small subunit ribosomal RNA", at positions 569 to 1087 of the family's 1831-position model. The record is from RNAcentral. Lineage: Eukaryota; Fungi; Glomeromycota; Glomeromycetes; Glomerales; Glomeraceae.
AGCAGCCGCGGUAAUUCCAGCUCCAAUAGCGUAUAUUAAAGUUGUUGCAGUUAAAAAGCUCGUAGUUGAAUUUCGGGGUCAAUACGUCGGUCGUGCCUCGGUACGUACUAACGUUAUUGAUCCCUCCCUUCUGACGAACCGUGAUGUCAUUAAUUUGGUGUUGCGGGGAAUCAGGACCAUUACCUUGAAAAAAUUAGAGUGUUUAAAGCAGGCAAUCGCUCGAAUACAUUAGCAUGGAAUAAUGAAAUAGGACGUUCGAACCUAUUUUGUUGGUUUUCUAAGAUCGACGUAAUGAUUAAUAGGGAUAGUUGGGGGCAUUAGUAUUCAAUUGUCAGAGGUGAAAUUCUUGGAUUUAUUGAAGACUAACUACUGCGAAAGCAUUUGCCAAGGAUGUUUUCAUUAAUCAAGAACGAAAGUUAGGGGAUCGAAGACGAUCAGAUACCGUCGUAGUCUUAACCAUAAACUAUAGCCGACUAGGGAUCGGAUGAUGUUAAUUUUUAUAAUUGACUCAUUCGGCGCC